Molecule: small nucleolar RNA, 178 nt
Filed under: Pestalotiopsis fici W106-1
Lineage: Eukaryota; Fungi; Ascomycota; Sordariomycetes; Amphisphaeriales; Sporocadaceae
Source: RNAcentral
ACGUCUUUUGCCACGCUCGGUCAGCCUUCGUUUAUUCCAACGACUGAUCUUGAGCCGGAUACCCUCGUUAUUUAUUCUCGAGCGUACCAGACAAGAAUAAACCAGCACAACAUUCUUUGAGUGCGAUACCUCCUGGCCUAUGGCGUGGAGCCCUUCGCAAUUUCUUGUUGUCACAUCC